CCUACGGGCGGCAGCAGUGAGGAAUAUUGGUCAAUGGGCGCGAGCCUGAACCAGCCAAGUAGCGUGAAGGAUGACUGCCCUACGGGUUGUAAACUUCUUUUAUAAAGGAAUAAAGUGCGGCACGUGUGCCUCUUUGUAUGUACUUUAUGAAUAAGGAUCGGCUAACUCCGUGCCAGCAGCCGCGGUAAUACGGGGGAUGCGAGCGUUAUCCGGAUUUAUUGGGUUUAAAGGGAGCGUAGAUGGGUUGUUAAGUCAGUUGUGAAAGUUUGCGGCUCAACCGUAAAAUUGCAAUUGAUACUGGCAGUCUUGAGUGCAGUUGAGGUAGGCGGAAUUCGUGGUGUAGCGGUGAAAUGCUUAGAUAUCACGAAGAACUCCGAUUGCGCAGGCAGCUUACUAAACUGCCACUGACAUUGAUGCUCGAAAGUGUGGGUAUCAAACAGGAUUAGAUACCCCUGUAGUC
RNAcentral lists this ribosomal RNA (460 nucleotides) under uncultured bacterium. RNAcentral's name for it is "partial 16S ribosomal RNA". It matches the Rfam family "Bacterial small subunit ribosomal RNA", at positions 338 to 795 of the family's 1533-position model. The record is from RNAcentral.